GAUGAAGAACGUAGCGAAAUGCGAUAAGUAAUGUGAAUUGCAGAAUUCAGUGAAUCAUCGAAUCUUUGAACGCACAUUGCGCCCGCCAGUAUUCUGGCGGGCAUGCCUGUUCGAGCGUCAUUUCAACCCUCAAGCCCCCCCGGGGGCAUGGUGUUGGGGGACGGCCCCGCCCCGCGCGGUCUGGCCGCCCCCGAAAUGCAGUGGCGACCCCGCCGCAGCCUCCCCUGCGUAGUAGCUAUACAACUGGAAACCUCGCACCGGAGAGCGGCGCUGCUCAGCCGUGAAACCCCAACUUCUGAAAGGUUGACCUCGGAUCAGGUAGGAAUACCCGCUGAACUUAAGCAUAUCAAUAAGCGGAGGA
RNAcentral lists this unclassified non-coding RNA (361 nucleotides) under soil metagenome. RNAcentral's name for it is "partial contains 5.8S ribosomal RNA, internal transcribed spacer 2, and large subunit ribosomal RNA". The stretch from base 1 to 120 matches the Rfam family "5.8S ribosomal RNA", at positions 35 to 154 of the family's 154-position model. The record is from RNAcentral.